UGGGACGGAUGUGGGAUCUCAAGGG
Molecule: non-coding RNA, 25 nt
Filed under: Cricetulus griseus (Chinese hamster)
Lineage: Eukaryota; Metazoa; Chordata; Mammalia; Rodentia; Cricetidae
Source: RNAcentral